UCUCCUCGUCUGUCUUUAGAUAUGACUCAGCCAUUUAAAGGCGACCACUGGUCAAACUACAAUCUCCAUAGGAAAAGCUGAUGACUCCUAAAGCUAACGUUGGGUAAUAUAUUUUAUAAACUGGGUGGUUUGAGCCCUGAAUGCUGAUUGGCUGAACGGCGUAGUAUAUCAGACCGUGUAAGAUAAUAACUCGCUGCUCUAAACUCCUCUUCUUCUUAUAUAAACCUCGCCUGGUUCCCCACAGUCUCUCCUUACUAUUUCACUCGCUAUGGCUUCUCAGCGGACUGCAAAGUGGUGGCGUUCCCUGGGGACAACCCAGUAGCAAAACCUCUGUUAUAAACGUCUCAUCAGCGGUGUCUCCAGUUCCAGGAAGUCGAGUGCUGGCCACCGGAGGGGCUUCUUCUAACAAGGACUUUCUGCAGGUGCUAUCUGACAUAUUCAAUGCUCCUGUGAACACCAUUGACGUGGCCAACUCUGCCUGGCUAGGCUGUCAUGAUGGAAUGAUUGUGAUGACUGUGGACUACAGGACUACAGGACUACAGGACUACAGGAAAAGGAGGAUGGAGCACGCCACCAUUCUCAUCCACGGGGCUGUAGUGGAGCAGGUUGAGAGCUUCAAGUUCCUUGGUGUCC
Molecule: long non-coding RNA, 633 nt
Organism: Salmo salar (Atlantic salmon)
Lineage: Eukaryota; Metazoa; Chordata; Actinopteri; Salmoniformes; Salmonidae
Source: RefSeq, a predicted model, not a curated record